RNAcentral lists this ribosomal RNA (465 nucleotides) under uncultured bacterium. Its description in RNAcentral is "partial 16S ribosomal RNA". It matches the Rfam family "Bacterial small subunit ribosomal RNA", at positions 338 to 795 of the family's 1533-position model. The record is from RNAcentral.
CCUACGGGAGGCAGCAGUGGGGAAUAUUGCGCAAUGGGCGAAAGCCUGACGCAGCGACGCCGCGUGAGGGAUGAAGGUCUUCGGAUCGUAAACCUCUGUCAGCAGGGAAGAACGGUCACUGUGCUAAUCAGCAGUGAAUUGACGGUACCUGCAAAGGAAGCACCGGCUAACUCCGUGCCAGCAGCCGCGGUAAUACGGAGGGUGCGAGCGUUAAUCGGAAUUACUGGGCGUAGAGCGCUCGUAGGCGGUAUGUCAAGUCAAGGGUGAAAUCCCCGCGCUCAACGUGGGAACUGCCUUUGAAACUGGCAAACUGGAGUGUGUGAGAGGAUAGUGGAAUGCCAGGUGUAGGAGUGAAAGCCGUAGAUAUCUGGAGGAACAUCAGUGGCGAAGGCGACUAUCUGGCACAUAACUGACGCUGAGGAGCGAAAGCGUGGGUAGCAAACAGGAUUAGAUACCCCUGUAGUC